AUACGGAGGAUUCAAGCGUUAUCCGGAUUUAUUGGGUUUAAAGGGUGCGUAGGCGGUUUGAUAAGUUAGAGGUGAAAUAUCGGGGCUUAACUCCGAAACUGCCUCUAAUACUGUUAGACUAGAGAAUAGUUGCGGUAGGCGGAAUGUAUGGUGUAGCGGUGAAAUGCUUAGAGAUCAUACAGAACACCGAUUGCGUUUAAGGCAGCUUACCAAACUAUAUCUGACGUUGAGGCACGAAAGCGUGGGUAGC
Molecule: ribosomal RNA, 250 nt
Filed under: uncultured bacterium
Lineage: Bacteria
Description: partial 16S ribosomal RNA
Rfam family: Bacterial small subunit ribosomal RNA
Source: RNAcentral